UGGCUUACUAGAAGUGAAGGGAUCAAUGUACACACACAAGGAGCAGAUAAAAGAGGAAGUGUAUGGUACAAUAUUAGCAGAGAACACAAUAGGGGUGAACCAUGAUCAUUUCUUGAUCUUCCAUCUUGAUCUAGACGUUGAUGGUGAGGCCAACACCUUGAUCAAGACCAACCUCAAGACCUCCCGCGGGGCGAGGAGGAGCUACUGGAGGGCCGAGAGCGAAGCAGCCAAAACUGAAUCCGAUGCAAGAAUCAGGCUUGGCUCGGGAGCAACAAUGCUGUCCGUGGUGAACCUUAACAAGACGACUAAGAUAGGCAACAAUGUGGGCUACAAACUGAUGCCAGGAUCAGUAACCGGAACCCUUUUACCUGACGAUGACUAUGUCCAAAUUCGAGGAUCUUUUAUUAAGUACAACGCGUGGGUUACGCCCUACAACAAGUCUGAGAAAUGGGCUGCAGGGUUGUACACUGAUCGAAGCCAUGGUGAUGACGGUUUGGCUGCUUGGAGCCAAAGGUAUAUAUCCGUCCCAUUAAAAAUGACAUGUAUUUCAUUUUGGAUCGUCCCACUAUAAGUGGCCUGUUUUCAUAAAUGGAAAAAUUUAACCCUUAAAAAAGUGCGAGGCCUACCACUUUUAACAAUUUUACACAUUUUUCUUAAUUUCCGUGCUGAAAAGUUUUGAGCCACUUAUUGUGGGACGGAGGGAGUAUAUGGUUUAGGAGUUUGAUCAAUUUUUUUUUUCCUCUUUUGAUUUGGUUGAUGCAGGGAUAGGGAGAUUGAGAACAAGGACAUUGUGCUGUGGUACACAUUAGGCUUCCACCACGUGCCGUGCCAGGAAGAUUUUCCGAUCAUGCCGACGCUGACGGAGUCUUUCGAGCUCCGGCCAUCCAACUUUUUCGAGCACAAUCCUACGCUCUACACAAAGCAAGAGAGGGAAAUCAGAAAUCGUGCUAGCUUAAACUUUUCGGUUCAAUAGUAUCUUUGUCCAAAUAUGCCUCUUUCUUGAUCAAAUAAAGAUGCUAAAUUCUUGCUUUUAUGUAGCUUCUUUUCAAAUUUAGAAAUUAAUUAUAAAUUCACGAGUCUUCCACUCAAGAUAAGUUAAAAUUAGAUGUUGAUUUGUAUGUUAGAACAAUAAAACUCAAUUUUCCUGCUCUUCGAUACUUGAGAGAGCCCGAAGUAAAACUCAUUUCUUGAGCCCAAAGAAUAAUUGGAAAUCAAACAUAAACCAUUUUUCUUAUUUUCAUGUAAUUUCUUCUUGUUUUAAUACUCAUUCCAUAACUGCCUUUGUUAGCUUGCAAAACUAACACACAGCAUUCUCUAUAAUAAUAUAGGAUAUAAUUUUAAUAAAGAGGAGAAAACAAAAUGCUCCUCCAUCCACAGAAUAAUUGCAUCACAUCACAAUUAUAAUUAGGUGCAAAAUAUUUGUAAAUAAUAUAUAUAAAAAAUAAUUGAUUUAUGCUUUUGUAACAUCUUUAUUUAUUGAUCGAUAAAUAAAUAUUACUAAUAUUAAUAGUGCAGUAGAGUAUGUUGGACUAAUUGUAUGAAUAAAGAACGAAAAAAUAAAUUGAACACGAUGAAAUGAUUUUAGAGGUGGUCUUCGGUACACCUGGGUUACACCUUCACUUUUCGAAAUUUCUCUUCCUUAUUCAAUUUCUAAUCAAAAUACUUGUCAUUCCAGAACUUGAUAUCAAACUAAAUUGAAGGCAAAUGCAGCAUAGACAAUUAAAUACCAAAAAAAAAUAGAGCAAAUUAUAAAACAGAAUCAACGCAAAAGCGAAAAUGUUUAAAACACAAAGCGUCAAAAAGAGUGUUAUUGAAGAACUAACCGAUUAGAAUUUUCAACAGCGAGCAAGACAGAAGCAAUCGAGAAACAGAGAUUAAAGAAGUUUAGUUUGUGGAAUUUGCUCGGAAAUGAGAAACAGAUAUUAAAGAAAGAAGCUUAGAAAAUUUGUUUUAUAUACUCUCUUCGUUUCAUUACAAAUGUUCCAUUACUUUUGAGCAGAAAGAUUAAGAAAUAGUAAAUUUUAUUACAAAUGUCUCGUUAGUUUUGGCUACAGAGAUUAAGAAAUAAGUAUAUGUAAUAUGCAGACAUAAACAAAUCUUACGUGUGUAUAUAUAUCUUCGACUGUAAUGUGCACACAUAAACUCCCCACAUGAGUCACGUUUCUACCAAAUUAAGCAAAAAAACAAAAAAAUUAAAACGACGUUUAAUUUUUCACCAAUUAUUUAUCAUUAAAGAUUCAUUGUGUCACAAUUAGUAUCUCGUAAUGAUUUUCUCAAAAUAAAGAAAUGAAAUAAAAAAAGUUAUACUACUAUUGUUUGUUUGACUCAAGCAAAAAACAUAAAAAAAUGAGCUAACAAAUUGUAGUAGAGAAUAGAGAUGUAUUUGCAGCGUGCGUGAGUUGGCCUAUCAGUAGGUGAUUAAUGCCCAAUGCUUGAGGUCUUCGAUUCGUGUCCACCGGCAUGUGAUCUUUAAAUUUCUUUAUUUACUUGUGUAGUUUAUUAAAAAAAAUGUAUAAAUUAAUUAGUUAAAAUUGAUAAAACCUACACUUUUUUAAUUUUAUCAUUUAUAAAAACAGAUCAUUUAUAAUGAGCCAACUCAAAAUAAAAUAUAUGUCACUUUCAGUGGUGGUAUCAGAUGGAUUACUUUUUAUAAGCCAUCACUCACUACUAGAAAAUGAACCAUAACAAAAUAAAAAUAUUUGUACUACCAAAAAAAUGCUUCCAUCACUAAACAAUCCUAUCUUCUUCUUCUUCUUCAUCAUCUUCUUCAAAGCUCCAACCGCCAUCUCACUCCAAGAUUCUCCUCACCCCUUAGACUCCCUCACUCCGUCGGAGCUCACUCGAGUCGGCACCAUCGUCAACGCCCAUUUCUCGAGCACGAGCCACAACGUGAGCUUCCACUACGUCGGCCUAGACGAGCCGCACAAGCCGGAGAUCCUCCGUUGGCACUCGGAUCCCGGCCAGCUCCCGCGUCGCAGAGCAUUAGUCAUCGCUCGCAUUGACCGGAGCAGCAGCCACGAAAUCGUCGUUGACUUUAUGCAAAACGCGGUCGUUUCCGACCGAUCGCACCAAGGCGGCGGCUACCCUCUCUUGAACACGGAGGAGCAAGACGCCGCGAGCAAGCUGGCGACGUCGUAUGCUCCCUUCGUCGCCUCAAUUUCGAGGAGAGGGCUGAAGAUGGAGGAGGUGGUGUGCAUGAGCUUCACCGUGGGGUGGUUCGGAGAGGAGCGGCGGAGCCGGAGAAUGGUUAGGGUUAUGUGUUACUAUAUGGAUGGGACGGUUAAUCUCUACAUGAGGCCUAUCGAGGGCGUCACCGUGGCCGUUGAUCUCGAUCGGAUGGCGAUCAUCGGGUUCCACGACCGGGUCGUGGUCCCGGUGCCGAAAGCUCAAGGCACGGAUUACACCGGUCGUGAUCGGCCGUACAUGGAGAGUGAAGGUGGUGUUGAUGAGGAUGCAAGUUUCACUUUGGAUGGAAAUGUUUUGAGGUAAUAAUAAUAUAUGUUACUUCAUUUGUUGCAUUACUAUUUUUCCUACACUCUUUUGGAUGUAUAUAUGCAUGUCAUGAAAUGUACUCCUUCUUAUCCAUCCCACUCUAAUAGAUUCGUUUUUCUUUUUGAAAACGUCUCAUUAGAAUUAUAAGCUCGUUUUCUAUUUUGAGUAAAUAAACAAUAUACUUAAUUGGUGUAAACUACACCACUUUUCUUCUAAAAAGUAAGUUUCUUAAUUAAUUUUCGUAUCUAAAAGAAAUGAACCUAUUAGAAUGAGACGGAGGGAGUACAGUAUAAGUUAAGUGACCCAUAAAUUUUAUAAACAAUAAUUAAGGACCCCAGGUUCAAUCAAAUCGAGCUAUUAAUCUUUAUCUGAAAUAGUAUAAGAUUCGGUCAAUUAUUUUUAUUCUAAUCAUAUGAGGUUGGCUAAAUAAUUAAUAAAGUAGCGAAAAUAAAUUAAUAUGUUAAAGAAUUAGCCGGCAGCAUUCAGCUCAUUUUUUUUAAUGAUUAAUUUCUUUAGAGAUAAUGACCUACUCUAGCCCAUUUCAUGCAGCCAAAGGAUUUUUUUUCAAUGAAGAUACAAGAUUAGGAAUAAUAUUAUCAUUUUUUAGCAUAAAUGUACUAAUACAUUAUUAAUGAUUUUUUAAAAGAAAUAAUUCAAAAUUUCGCAAUCAUUACACAAUUUUACGAAAUUAGCGUGUAAUAGCAUAAAAUACACGAUUAUACAGUUUUCACAUAAUCGUAUAAUAGUCGAGAAAAACCGUAUAGAGCGAUAUUUUACACUGUUACAGAAUAUAUUUUUCAAAAGUGAGUAAAAAAGAGUACAAAGUGUAUAAUGGUAAAAAAAAAUAUGUAAUCGUAUAUUUUACACUAUUACACGACACAACGAUAUUUCGGUCACAAUGUCUACUAUUUCCAUAAUUUUAUUUAUUACACAAUUGUUAUAGAUGGGGAGGUUGGGAGAUGCAUCUAUCAUUCGACAUGAGAGCUGGUGUAGUGAUAUCAAUGGCGUCCAUUUUCGACGCUGAGAAGGAAGAGCAGAGGAGAGUGAUGUACAGAGGAUUUUUGUCGGAACUCUUUGUGCCAUACAUGGACUUAACCGAGGAGUGGUACUUCCAAACUUACUUUGAUGCAGGUGAAUAUGGACUGGGACUCUCUGCAGUGCCGCUUGUACCUUCGAAAGACUGCCCCCAAAACGCGGUGUUCAUGGAUGGCUACUUCACCUCAGGCGACGGCACGCCUGGGCGAACCCCUAACGCCUUCUGCAUAUUCGAGAAAUAUGCAGGAGACGUCAUGUGGCGCCACACCGAGCUUGCUAUACUCGGCAAAACGGCAAGCCAUCACAAACAACAAUAUGCAUAUAUACUUACUAGGUAUAUUUUUAUCUUGUGUUUGUUUAUGGAGUUUGAUGGUUGUGCAGAUAACGGAGGUGAGGCCGGAGUCGAGCCUCGUCGUGAGGACGGUAUCGACCGUGGGGAACUACGACUACAUUGUGGAUUGGGAGUUCAAGCAAACCGGUAUCAUUAGAGUCAGUGUGAGUGUUGAGAUGAUGAAGCAAGUUUCUUUAAGUUAAGCAGUAUGUGUCCAAGAUUGACAGCUAAUCGUUAAAACAUGACCGUAACUUUCAGUGUUUUCAGAAAGAGAACCAUAGGUUACAGAAUUUGAAAAUGAGAACUAUAACUUCCAUUUUUUUAUAUUUUCACUCCUAUUUCGGAAAAUGAGGAAUUUGGCAAAAAGGUGACAUGGCACGACCACAUCAGCACCAAAAAGCCCAAUUUUGGUUUUGGGCCUGAAAUAGGAGUGUGUAAAUGUAAAAACUGGAAGUUAUAGUUCCCAUUUUCAAAUUCUGUAACAUAUGGUUCUCUUUCUGAAAACAGUGAGAGUUACGAUCCUGUUUUAACAAUUAGCUCCCGAGAUUGAUGUUAAUUUGUGUGAGUAGGUGGGGAUGACUGGCUUGCUAGACGUGAAGGGAUCAAUGUACACAUACAAGGAGCAGAUAAAAGAGGAAGUGUAUGGUCCAAUAUUAGCAGAGAACACAAUAGGGGUGAACCAUGAUCAUUUUUUGAUCUUCCAUCUUGAUCUAGAUGUUGAUGGUGAGGCCAACUCCUUGAUCAAGACCAACCUCAAGACCUCCCGCGGGGCGAGGAGGAGCUACUGGAGGGCCGAGAGCGAAGCAGCCAAAACUGAAUCCGAAGCAAGAAUCAGGCUUGGUUCGGGAGCAACAAUGCUGUCCGUGGUGAACCCCAACAAGACGACCAAGAUAGGCAACAAUGUGGGCUACAAACUGAUGCCCGGAUCAGUAGCCGGCACCCUUUUACCUGACGACGACUAUGUCCAAAUUCGAGGAUCUUUUAUUAAGUACAACGCGUGGGUUACGCCCUACAACAAGUCUGAGAAAUGGGCUGCAGGGUUGUAUACUGAUCAAAGCCAUGGUGAUGACGGUUUGGCUGCUUGGAGCCAAAG
Molecule: long non-coding RNA, 5951 nt
Filed under: Salvia miltiorrhiza (redroot sage)
Lineage: Eukaryota; Viridiplantae; Streptophyta; Magnoliopsida; Lamiales; Lamiaceae
Description: long non-coding RNA (SMIL_LNC006316)
Source: RNAcentral